GGGGAAUAUUGGGCAAUGGGGGAAACCCUGACCCAGCAACGCCGCGUGAAGGAAGAAGGCCUUCGGGUUGUAAACUUCUUUUACCAGGGACGAAGGACGUGACGGUACCUGGAGAAAAAGCAACGGCUAACUACGUGCCAGCAGCCGCGGUAAUACGUAGGUUGCAAGCGUUGUCCGGAUUUACUGGGUGUAAAGGGCGUGUAGGCGGAGAUGCAAGUUGGGAGUGAAAUCCAUGGGCUCAACCCAUGAACUGCUCUCAAAACUGUAUCCCUUGAGUAUCGGAGAGGCAAGCGGAAUUCCUAGUGUAGCGGUGAAAUGCGUAGAUAUUAGGAGGAACACCAGUGGCGAAGGCGGCUUGCUGGACGACAACUGACGCUGAGGCGCGAAAGCGUGGGGAGCAAAC
This 403-nucleotide ribosomal RNA is filed under the name uncultured bacterium. Its description in RNAcentral is "bacterial SSU rRNA". It matches the Rfam family "Bacterial small subunit ribosomal RNA", at positions 356 to 773 of the family's 1533-position model. The record is from RNAcentral.